UACGAAGGGGGCAAGCGUUGUUCGGAAUUACUGGGCGUAAAGGGCGCGUAGGCGGCCGAUCAAGUCAGGCGUGAAAUUCCCGGGCUCAACCUGGGGGCUGCGCUUGAUACUGAUUGGCUUGAAUGCGGGAGAGGAUAGUGGAAUUCCCAGUGUAGAGGUGAAAUUCGUAGAUAUUGGGAAGAACACCGGUGGCGAAGGCGGCUAUCUGGCCCGUUAUUGACGCUGAGGCGCGAAAGCGUGGGGAGCAAAC
RNAcentral lists this ribosomal RNA (250 nucleotides) under uncultured bacterium. Its description in RNAcentral is "partial 16S ribosomal RNA". It matches the Rfam family "Bacterial small subunit ribosomal RNA", at positions 524 to 773 of the family's 1533-position model. The record is from RNAcentral.